UACAGAGGGUGCGAGCGUUGUCCGGAAUCACUGGGCGUAAAGGGCGCGUAGGUGGCGCCCCAAGUCGAUGGUGAAAGCUCGCCGCUCAACGGCGAGUCGGCCACCGAUACUGGGGCGCUUGAGCACUGUAGAGGCUAAUGGAAUUCCGGGUGUAGCGGUGGAAUGCGUAGAGAUCCGGAAGAACACCGGUGGCGAAGGCGGGUUGCUGGGCUGACACUGACGCUGAGGCGCGAAAGCUAGGGGAGCGAACGGG
RNAcentral lists this ribosomal RNA (253 nucleotides) under uncultured bacterium. RNAcentral's name for it is "partial 16S ribosomal RNA". It matches the Rfam family "Bacterial small subunit ribosomal RNA", at positions 524 to 776 of the family's 1533-position model. The record is from RNAcentral.